Molecule: ribosomal RNA, 837 nt
Filed under: Metarhizium brunneum
Lineage: Eukaryota; Fungi; Ascomycota; Sordariomycetes; Hypocreales; Clavicipitaceae
Description: partial large subunit ribosomal RNA
Rfam family: Eukaryotic large subunit ribosomal RNA
Source: RNAcentral
AUUGCCCCAGUAACGGCGAGUGAAGCGGCAACAGCUCAAAUUUGAAAUCUGGUCCCCAGGGCCCGAGUUGUAAUUUGCAGAGGAUGCUUUUGGUGAGGUGCCUUCCGAGUUCCCUGGAACGGGACGCCAUAGAGGGUGAGAGCCCCGUCUGGUUGGAUACCGAGCCUCUGUAAAGCUCCUUCGACGAGUCGAGUAGUUUGGGAAUGCUGCUCUAAAUGGGAGGUAUAUGUCUUCUAAAGCUAAAUAUUGGCCAGAGACCGAUAGCGCACAAGUAGAGUGAUCGAAAGAUGAAAAGCACUUUGAAAAGAGGGUUAAAUAGUACGUGAAAUUGUUGAAAGGGAAGCACUUAUGACCAGACUUGGCCCCGGUGAAUCAUCCAGCGGUUCCCGUUGGUGCACUUUGCCGGGGUUCAGGCCAGCAUCAGUUCGCUCCGGGGGAUAAAGGCUUUGGGAAUGUGGCUCCCUCGGGAGUGUUAUAGCCCAUUGCGCAAUACCCUGUGGCGGGCUGAGGUUCGCGCUUUAUGCAAGGAUGCUGGCAUAAUGGUCAUCAGUGACCCGUCUUGAAACACGGACCAAGGAGUCGUCUUCGUAUGCGAGUGUUCGGGUGUUAAACCCCUACGCGUAAUGAAAGUGAACGCAGGUGAGAGCCCUCCAGGGCGCAUCAUCGACCGAUCCUGAUGUUCUCGGAUGGAUUUGAGUAAGAGCAUACGGGGCCGGACCCGAAAGAAGGUGAACUAUGCCUGUAUAGGGUGAAGCCAGAGGAAACUCUGGUGGAGGCUCGCAGCGGUUCUGACGUGCAAAUCGAUCGUCAAAUAUGGGCAUGGGGCGAAAGACUAAU